RNAcentral lists this unclassified non-coding RNA (234 nucleotides) under plant metagenome. RNAcentral describes it as "partial contains small subunit ribosomal RNA, internal transcribed spacer 1, and 5.8S ribosomal RNA". The record is from RNAcentral.
UUUCCGUAGGUGAACCUGCGGAAGGAUCAUUAAUGUGUUUGGGCCUCACGGCUCUUCAUUCCGACGCUGUGCGCCUUCGGGCUGCACGCUGAGGGAGCAUGUAUCCACCCCUGUGCACACACACGGUGGCGAGCUGGGUAACGGCUCGCCGCUGAUCUUUACACACGUCUAAAAGUCAUUGUAUGUUUAUUUGAGAUAAAAACACAACUUUCAGCAACGGAUCUCUUGGCUCUC